GCAUAUCAAUAAGCGGAGGAAAAGAAACCAACAGGAUUGCCUUAGUAGCGGCGAGUGAAGCGGCAAAAGCUCAAAUUUGAAAUCUGGCACUUUCAGUGUCCGAGUUGUAAUUUGAAGAAGGUAUCUUUGGGUCUGGCUCUUGUCUAUGUUUCUUGGAACAGAACGUCACAGAGGGUGAGAAUCCCGUGCGAUGAGAUGACCCAGACCUAUGUAAAGUUCCUUCGAAGAGUCGAGUUGUUUGGGAAUGCAGCUCUAAGUGGGUGGUAAAUUCCAUCUAAAGCUAAAUAUUGGCGAGAGACCGAUAGCGAACAAGUACAGUGAUGGAAAGAUGAAAAGAACUUUGAAAAGAGAGUGAAAAAGUACGUGAAAUUGUUGAAAGGGAAGGGCUUGAGAUCAGACUUGGUAUUUUGUAUGUUACUCUUUCGGGGGUGGCCUCUACAGUUUACCGGGCCAGCAUCAGUUUGGGCGGUAGGAGAAUUGCAAAGAAAUGUGGCACUGCCUCGGUAGUGUGUUAUAGUCUUCGUCGAUACUGCCAGCCUAGACUGAGGACUGCGGCUUCGGCCUAGGAUGUUGGCAUAAUGAUCUUAAGUCGCCCGUCUUGAAACACGGACCAAGGAGUCUAACGUCUAUGCAAGUGUUUGGGUGUAAAACCCGUACGCGUAAUGAAAGUGAACGUAGGUAGGACCUCCUUUAGGAGUGCACUAUCGACCGAUCCUGAUGUCUUCGGAUGGAUUUGAGUAAGAGCAUAGCUGUUGGGACCCGAAAGAUGGUGAACUAUGCCUGAAUAGGGUGAAGCCAGAGGAAACUCUGGUGGAGGCUCGUAGCGGUUCUGACGUGCAAAUCGAUCGUCGAAUUUGGGUAUAGGGGCGAAAGACUAAUCGAACCAUCUAGUAGCUGGUUCCUGCCGA
RNAcentral lists this ribosomal RNA (908 nucleotides) under Lodderomyces metapsilosis. RNAcentral's name for it is "LSU rRNA". It matches the Rfam family "Eukaryotic large subunit ribosomal RNA", at positions 38 to 964 of the family's 3401-position model. Lineage: Eukaryota; Fungi; Ascomycota; Pichiomycetes; Serinales; Debaryomycetaceae. The record is from RNAcentral.